This 352-nucleotide unclassified non-coding RNA is filed under the name soil metagenome. RNAcentral describes it as "partial contains 5.8S ribosomal RNA, internal transcribed spacer 2, and large subunit ribosomal RNA". The stretch from base 1 to 120 matches the Rfam family "5.8S ribosomal RNA", at positions 35 to 154 of the family's 154-position model. The record is from RNAcentral.
GAUGAAGAACGCAGCGAAAUGCGAAAAGUAAUGUGAAUUGCAGAAUUCAGUGAAUCAUCGAAUCUUUGAACGCACAUUGCGCCCGCUGGUACUCCGGCGGGCACGCCUGUCCGAGCGUCAUUUCAACCCUCAAGCCCUCCUUCGGGAUGGGCCUGGUGUUGGGGCUCGGCCGCCAUCUCCGGCGGCCGUCCCCUAAAUACAGUGGCGGUCACGUCGCGACUCCUUUGCGUAGUAGAAACACCUCGCUCCGGAUAGCAACGCGGUCCACGCCGUAAAAUCCCCAAUUUUCAAUGGUUGACCUCGGAUCAGGUGGGAAUACCCGCUGAACUUAAGCAUAUCAAUAAGCGGAGGA